Molecule: long non-coding RNA, 430 nt
Organism: Brassica napus (rape)
Lineage: Eukaryota; Viridiplantae; Streptophyta; Magnoliopsida; Brassicales; Brassicaceae
Exons: 2
Source: RefSeq, a predicted model, not a curated record
GAAGCUUGAAGAUCAUCAACCACCAUCCCUACUUCAAAUGGAGUUACAAAGCAUAGACAGAUUCUCAGAGAGUAGUCGUCCACAGGUGCAUCAGGAGGUGGUGACGGUGAGAGAUCAGCUGGAGAAAAAAGAGCGGGAUCUAGGAUUGUCGAGUCAAAGUGAGAGGAGACAAAGCCAGAGAUUCAUGACGAAGACAAGAUAGACAAAUUUACAAGGGAAGACAUUGGUUUUUGUUUCUACGUACAUACACAUUUUCAGCUAAAUGACAGGCUUUCCUAUUUAUUAUUAUAUCUACUCUCUUAUAUGCUUCGUGAAAGCACUAUGUUAUGUUGAUCUAGGACGUAAAAUGUAAUUUAUGUCAAUUUUCUCGGAAUAAUGAACAUGUUGUAAAGAGAGAUUUUUGUUUUUGAGGAAACAACAGUUGUAGCUA